RNAcentral lists this ribosomal RNA (292 nucleotides) under uncultured bacterium. RNAcentral's name for it is "partial 16S ribosomal RNA". It matches the Rfam family "Bacterial small subunit ribosomal RNA", at positions 505 to 796 of the family's 1533-position model. The record is from RNAcentral.
GUGCCAGCCGCCGCGGUAAUACGUAGGGUGCGAGCGUUGUCCGGAAUUAUUGGGCGUAAAGAGCUCGUAGGCGGCCUGUUGCGUCUGCUGUGAAAGCCCGGGGCUUAACCCCGGGUCUGCAGUGGAUACGGGCAGGCUAGAGUUCGGCAGGGGAGACUGGAAUUCCUGGUGUAGCGGUGAAAUGCGCAGAUAUCAGGAGGAACACCGGUGGCGAAGGCGGGUCUCUGGGCCGAUACUGACGCUGAGGAGCGAAAGCGUGGGGAGCGAACAGGAUUAGAUACCCCCGUAGUCC